UUUCCGUAGGUGAACCUGCGGAAGGAUCAUUAUUGUAUAAACGACGCGCUAGGGCUGAUGCUGACCCGAACAGUCGUUUACGCCCGCGUGCCCUCACCCCCAUGCACCUCACCCCUCUGUGCACCACCGCGCGGGUCCCCCUUUGCCUUGAUCGGAGGGGGGCUUACGCCUUCCCACAAAUUUUGUAUUCAGCGUUGACUGUAUUUUUUGUUUUUGCGUUCACGCUAUCAAUACAACUUUCAACAACGGAUCCCUUGGCUCUCGCUUGGUUGAAAAACC
This 279-nucleotide unclassified non-coding RNA is filed under the name plant metagenome. Its description in RNAcentral is "partial contains small subunit ribosomal RNA, internal transcribed spacer 1, and 5.8S ribosomal RNA". The record is from RNAcentral.